Piedraia hortae CBS 480.64 is the source of this 86-nucleotide non-coding RNA. The record is from the annotation of a GenBank genome assembly. Lineage: Eukaryota; Fungi; Ascomycota; Dothideomycetes; Capnodiales; Piedraiaceae.
GCGUUCGUAGUUUAAGGGUAGAAUUCGAGCUUCCCAUUGUACAAUUUGAUAUGCUCGAGGACCGAGUUCGAGUCUCGGCGGACGCA